AGCGGCGGACGGGUGAGUAACACGUAGGCAACCUGCCCGUAAGACUGGGAUAACAUAGGGAAACUUAUGCUAAUACCGGAUAGAGUCUUCUCUCGCAUGAGGGAAGACGGAAAGGUGGCGCAAGCUAUCACUUACGGAUGGGCCUGCGGCGCAUUAGCUAGUUGGUGGGGUAAUGGCCUACCAAGGCGACGAUGCGUAGCCGACCUGAGAGGGUGACCGGCCACACUGGGACUGAAACACGGCCCAGACUCCUACGGGAGGCAGCAGUAGGGAAUUUUCCACAAUGGACGAAAGUCUGAUGGAGCAACGCCGCGUGAACGAUGAAGGUCUUCGGAUUGUAAAGUUCUGUUGUUAGGGACGAACAAGUACCGUUCGAAUAGGGCGGUACCUUGACGGUACCUGACGAGAAAGCCACGGCUAACUACGUGCCAGCAGCCGCGGUAAUACGUAGGUGGCAAGCGUUGUCCGGAUUUAUUGGGCGUAAAGCGCGCGCAGGCGGCUAUGUAAGUCUGGUGUUAAAGCCCGGAGCUCAACUCCGGUUCGCAUCGGAAACUGUGUAGCUUGAGUGCAGAAGAAGAAAGCGGUAUUCCACGUGUAGCGGUGAAAUGCGUAGAGAUGUGGAGGAACACCCAGUGGCGAAGCGGCUUUCUGGUCUGUAACUGACGCUGAAGCGCGAAAGCGUGGGGAGCAAACA
RNAcentral lists this ribosomal RNA (694 nucleotides) under Brevibacillus sp. Y-RO8-7. RNAcentral's name for it is "bacterial SSU rRNA". It matches the Rfam family "Bacterial small subunit ribosomal RNA", at positions 94 to 774 of the family's 1533-position model. Lineage: Bacteria; Bacillati; Bacillota; Bacilli; Caryophanales; Paenibacillaceae. The record is from RNAcentral.